RNAcentral lists this ribosomal RNA (404 nucleotides) under Actinomycetes bacterium. RNAcentral describes it as "Actinobacteria bacterium partial 16S ribosomal RNA". It matches the Rfam family "Bacterial small subunit ribosomal RNA", at positions 355 to 776 of the family's 1533-position model. Lineage: Bacteria; Bacillati; Actinomycetota; Actinomycetes. The record is from RNAcentral.
UGGGGAAUAUUGGACAAUGGGCGCAAGCCUGAUCCAGCCAUGCCGCGUGAGUGAUGAAGGCCCUAGGGUUGUAAAGCUCUUUCACCGGUGAAGAUAAUGACGUUAACCGGAGAAGAAGCCCCGGCUAACUUCGUGCCAGCAGCCGCGGUAAUACGAAGGGGGCUAGCGUUGUUCGGAUUUACUGGGCGUAAAGCGCACGUAGGCGGACGAUUAAGUCAGGGGUGAAAUCCCGGGGCUCAACCCCGGAACUGCCUUUGAUACUGGUAGUCUUGAGUUCGAGAGAGGUGAGUGGAAUUCCGAGUGUAGAGGUGAAAGUCGUAGAUAUUCGGAGGAACACCAGUGGCGAAGGCGGCUCACUGGCUCGAUACUGACGCUGAGGUGCGAAAGCGUGGGGAGCAAACAGG